Molecule: ribosomal RNA, 253 nt
Filed under: uncultured bacterium
Lineage: Bacteria
Description: partial 16S ribosomal RNA
Rfam family: Bacterial small subunit ribosomal RNA
Source: RNAcentral
CACGUAGGGCGCAAGCGUUGUCCGGAAUCAUUGGGCGUAAAGAGCGUGUAGGCGGCCCGAUAAGUCCGCUGUGAAAGUCCAGGGCUCAACCCUGGGAUGCCGGUGGAUACUGUCGGGCUCGAGUCCGGAAGAGGAGUGUGGAAUUCCUGGUGUAGCGGUGAAAUGCGCAGAUAUCAGGAGGAACACCAAUGGCGAAGGCAGCACUCUGGGACGUGACUGACGCUGAGACGCGAAAGCGUGGGGAGCAAACAGG